UUCUUGGNUCAAUUUGAGGAAGUAAAAGUCGUAACAAGGUUUCCGUAGGUGAACCUGCGGAAGGAUCAUUAUCGUACAAAAUGUGAGAGGGGCAUGCGAGGGCUGUCGCUGACUCAAAGUCGUGCACGCCCGAGUGUGUCGCCUCACAUAAUAAUCCAUCUCACCCUUUGUGCAUCACCGCGUGGGCACCCCUUUGGGAUCAUCUCGGAGGGGGCUCGCGUUUUCACACAAAACCCCCCUUUUAAAAGUGUAGAAUGACCUCAUUUAUGCGCUAACCCGCAAUCAAUACAACUUUCAACAACGGAUCUCUUGGCUCUCGCAUCGAUGAAGAACGCAGCGAAAUGCGAUACGUAAUGUGAAUUGCAGAAUUCAGUGAAUCAUCGAAUCUUUGAACGCACCUUGCGCCCCCUGGUAUUCCGAGGGGCACACCCGUUUGAGUGUCGUGAAAACCUCAACCUCCUUGGUUUCUUCUGGAGACCAAAGCAGGCUUGGACUUUGGAGGCCUUUGCUGGCACCUCUCGCCAGCUCCUCUUAAAUGAAUUAGCAGGGUCCUCUUUGCUGAUCCUCGACGUGUGAUAAGAUGUUUCCAUGUCUUGGUUUCUGGCUCUGUCACCUUUGGGACCCGCUUCUAACCGUCUUCAACCUUGCGUUGAGACAACGUUCGAGCAUGUCUCCCUUCUCGGGAAGCUCCCUCGACCCCACGAACCCUUGACCUCAAAUCGGGUGAGACUACCCGCUGAACUUAAGCAUA
RNAcentral lists this ribosomal RNA (751 nucleotides) under uncultured Lactarius. Its description in RNAcentral is "eukaryotic LSU rRNA". The stretch from base 290 to 443 matches the Rfam family "5.8S ribosomal RNA". Lineage: Eukaryota; Fungi; Basidiomycota; Agaricomycetes; Russulales; Russulaceae. The record is from RNAcentral.